Molecule: ribosomal RNA, 468 nt
Filed under: uncultured bacterium
Lineage: Bacteria
Description: partial 16S ribosomal RNA
Rfam family: Bacterial small subunit ribosomal RNA
Source: RNAcentral
GACGAACGCUGGCGGCGUGCUUAACACAUGCAAGUCGAACGGAAAGGCCCUGGUUUGGUGGGCUGCUCGAGUGGCGAACGGGUGAGUAACACGUGAGUAACCUGCCCCUGACUCUGGGAUAACUUCAGGAAACUGGGGCUAAUACCGGAUAGGAGCUCCUGCUGCAUGGUGGGGGUUGGAAAGUUUCGGCGGUUGGGGAUGGACUCGCGGCCUAUCAGCUUGUUGGUGGGGUAGUGGCUUACCAAGGCUUCGACGGGUAGCCGGCCUGAGAGGGUGACCGGCCACAUUGGGACUGAGAUACGGCCCAGACUCCUACGGGAGGCAGCAGUGGGGAAUAUUGCACAAUGGGCGGAAGCCUGAUGCAGCAACGCCGCGUGCGGGAUGACGGCCUUCGGGUUGUAAACCGCUUUCGGCUGUGACGAAGCGUAAGUGGCGGUAAUGGGUGAAGAAGCACCGGCUAACUACGUG